RNAcentral lists this ribosomal RNA (254 nucleotides) under uncultured bacterium. Its description in RNAcentral is "partial 16S ribosomal RNA". It matches the Rfam family "Bacterial small subunit ribosomal RNA", at positions 524 to 776 of the family's 1533-position model. The record is from RNAcentral.
UACGUAGGAGACGAGCGUUGUCCGGAGUUACUGGGCGUAAAGGGUGCGCAGGCGGCCUCGCGCGUCGCGAGUGAAAUCUCCCGGCUCAACUGGGGAGGGUGGUCGCGAGACGGCGGGGCUUGAGGCUCGGUGAGGGGCGUGGAAUUCCGGGUGGAGCGGUGAAAUGCGUAGAGAUCCGGAGGAACACCGACGGCGUAGGCAGCGCCCUAGACGAGACCUGACGCUCAGGCACGAAAGCGCGGGGAGCGAACAGG